This is a long non-coding RNA of Clupea harengus (Atlantic herring), 349 nucleotides long. The record is from Ensembl. NCBI's taxonomy places the organism in Eukaryota, Metazoa, Chordata, Actinopteri, Clupeiformes, Clupeidae.
AGAGAGAAGGAGAGAGAGAGAAGGAGAGAGUGAUAGAGAGGGAGGCGGAGAGAGAGAAGGAGAGAGUGAUAGAGAGGGAGGUAGAGAGAGAGAGGAGAGAGUGAUAGAGAGGGAGGUAGAGAGAGAGAGAAGGAGAGAGUGAUAGAGAGGGAGGCAGAGAGAGAGAGAAGGAGAGAGUGAUAGAGAGGGAGGCAGAGAUAGAGAGAAGGAGAGAGUGAUAGAGAGGGAGGUAGAGAGAGAGAGGAGAGAGUGAUAGAGAGGGAGGCAGAGAGAGAGAGAAGGAGAGAGUGAUAGAGAGGGAGAGGAGAGAGUGAUAGAGAGGGAGGUAGAGAGUGAGAGAAGGAGAGAG